GUGGGGAAUCUUGCGCAAUGGGCGAAAGCCUGACGCAGCCAUGCCGCGUGAAUGAUGAAGGUCUUAGGAUUGUAAAAUUCUUUCACCGGGGACGAUAAUGACGGUACCCGGAGAAGAAGCUCCGGCUAACUUCGUGCCAGCAGCCGCGGUAUUACGAAGGGGGCUAGCGUUGCUCGGAAUUACUGGGCGUAAAGGGCGCGUAGGCGGACAGCUUAGUCAGAGGUGAAAGCCCAGGGCUCAACCUUGGAAUUGCCUUUGAUACUGGCUGUCUUGAGUUUGGGAGAGGUGAGUGGAACUCCGAGUGUAGAGGUGAAAUUCGUAGAUAUUCGGAAGAACACCAGUGGCGAAGGCGACUCACUGGCCCAAUACUGACGCUGAGGCGCGAAAGCGUGGGGAGCAAACAGGAUUAGAAACCCUGGUAGUCC
RNAcentral lists this ribosomal RNA (425 nucleotides) under uncultured bacterium. RNAcentral's name for it is "partial 16S ribosomal RNA". It matches the Rfam family "Bacterial small subunit ribosomal RNA", at positions 354 to 796 of the family's 1533-position model. The record is from RNAcentral.